AUCGACCUUGGCGAUGGACCCCGCCUGAGUUUCAGACUCGAACCGCAUUGUGCUGAUGGCUCCUGCUAUUCG
This 72-nucleotide non-coding RNA is filed under the name Aeromicrobium sp. Root472D3. RNAcentral describes it as "Fluoride riboswitch aptamer (crcB RNA motif)". It matches the Rfam family "Fluoride riboswitch aptamer (crcB RNA motif)". RNAcentral also lists the same sequence under 1 other name. Lineage: Bacteria; Bacillati; Actinomycetota; Actinomycetes; Propionibacteriales; Nocardioidaceae. The record is from Rfam by way of RNAcentral.